RNAcentral lists this ribosomal RNA (252 nucleotides) under uncultured bacterium. RNAcentral describes it as "partial 16S ribosomal RNA". It matches the Rfam family "Bacterial small subunit ribosomal RNA", at positions 524 to 776 of the family's 1533-position model. The record is from RNAcentral.
UACGAAGGGGGCUAGCGUUGCUCGGAAUUACUGGGCGUAAAGCGCACGUAGGCGGCUUUCUAAGUCGGGGGUGAAAUCCUGGAGCUCAACUCCAGAACUGCCUUCGAUACUGGAAAGCUCGAGUCCGGGAGAGGUGAGUGGAACUGCGAGUGUAGAGGUGAAUUCGUAGAUAUUCGCAAGAACACCAGUGGCGAAGGCGGCUCACUGGCCCGGUACUGACGCUGAGGUGCGAAAGCGUGGGGAGCAAACAGG